Molecule: small nucleolar RNA, 129 nt
Organism: Dendrobium catenatum
Lineage: Eukaryota; Viridiplantae; Streptophyta; Magnoliopsida; Asparagales; Orchidaceae
Product: small nucleolar RNA snoR74
Exons: 1
Source: RefSeq, a predicted model, not a curated record
AGAAAAGCAGGGUUCUGGUGUCUUUAUGACCUGUACUCUCGUAUACUUUAGGGAAAUAAAUUUCAUCGUUAUUGGGUGAACCAUUGCUAAUUAUCAAUGGCAUAUGGUUCAGUAAACAAUGAUACACAU